GUCUACGGCCAUACCACACUGAAUGUACCCGAUCUUGUCUGAUCUCGGAAGCUAAGCAGUGUCGGGCUUGGUUAGUACUUGGAUGGGAAACCACUGGAGUUUUCUAAUAAAACU
Molecule: ribosomal RNA, 114 nt
Filed under: Mustela putorius furo (domestic ferret)
Lineage: Eukaryota; Metazoa; Chordata; Mammalia; Carnivora; Mustelidae
Source: RNAcentral